CAGACGGUUUCACUGUUGAAUUCUCUUUCGUGUAAACAACGGACUGAUCCAUAGAAAUUUUGCAGAGCUGUUUUAUCGAAGCCGCAAAACGAUUAUAAUUCAGGUAUCGAGGGUCCAUCGUUUCCAGGCUUGACUUGAAUAUCAGUGUGAAUUUGAUCCCUAAAUGAAGCCGCAAAUCCACUCAGAAAGCUUAUCUUCUCGAUUAACUCCUCUUCCAGUUCCUUCAUCUCCUUCACCCAUUUCAAAGCAUUUGCCAAUCCCUGAGAACAUCAUGAACAAUUUUCACUUGUCAGAAAAUUUUUUACUGAGAAAAUAAUCUUUUCUGAGUAUAUUCUGCCGUUGUUGCCCAAUCAAUUCUCACUUCAUGCCAGCAAGCACACCAGCACAGGAAUAUAGUUAUGGUUACGGGAAAGACUUUUUUGUUGAGAAGUAGCAAGCUUAGACUAAGAAAAUGCCUACUGUGGGAUGGAAGGUGAUUAUACUUCUGGCCCCCUCGUAGCAAGCUCCGCAUAUUGUAUUUCUUGGAGGCCUUAGAAUAUAUGGCAUCGCGCUGCAGAUAGAACAGUCCAUCUUUCUUUGCACAG
Molecule: long non-coding RNA, 584 nt
Organism: Olea europaea var. sylvestris
Lineage: Eukaryota; Viridiplantae; Streptophyta; Magnoliopsida; Lamiales; Oleaceae
Exons: 3
Source: RefSeq, a predicted model, not a curated record